AUACUUCAGUUCAUUAGUGUAAUGAUUGGGUGUUCAUGCCAUGUGCUAAGAUAUGUAUGUCUCCCUCAAAUUUUGCUACAACAUUGACACAUUACCUGUCUGACC
Small nucleolar RNA from Cavia porcellus (domestic guinea pig), 105 nucleotides. It matches the Rfam family "Small nucleolar RNA U13". Lineage: Eukaryota; Metazoa; Chordata; Mammalia; Rodentia; Caviidae. The record is from Rfam.